AGUAACACGUAUCCAACCUGCCGUCUACUCUUGGACAGCCUUCUGAAAGGAAGAUUAAUACAAGAUGGCAUCAUGAGUCCGCAUGUUCACAUGAUUAAAGGUAUUCCGGUAGACGAUGGGGAUGCGUUCCAUUAGAUAGUAGGCGGGGUAGCGGCCCACCUAGUCUUCGAUGGAUAGGGGUUCUGAGAGGAAGGUCCCCCACAUUGGAACUGAGACAUGGUCCAA
Molecule: ribosomal RNA, 225 nt
Filed under: uncultured bacterium
Lineage: Bacteria
Description: partial 16S ribosomal RNA
Rfam family: Bacterial small subunit ribosomal RNA
Source: RNAcentral